UCCCUAGUGGUCCAGUGGCUAAGACUCUGCGCUCCCAAUGCAGGGGCCAUGGGUUCGAUCCCUGGUGAGGGAA
This 73-nucleotide transfer RNA is filed under the name Bos taurus (domestic cattle). It matches the Rfam family "tRNA". Rfam says of the family: Transfer RNA (tRNA) molecules are approximately 80 nucleotides in length. Their secondary structure includes four short double-helical elements and three loops (D, anti-codon, and T loops). Further hydrogen bonds mediate the characteristic L-shaped molecular structure. tRNAs have two regions of fundamental functional importance: the anti-codon, which is responsible for specific mRNA codon recognition, and the 3' end, to which the tRNAs corresponding amino acid is attached (by aminoacyl-tRNA synthetases). tRNAs cope with the degeneracy of the genetic code in two manners: having more than one tRNA (with a specific anti-codon) for a particular amino acid; and 'wobble' base-pairing, i.e. permitting non-standard base-pairing at the 3rd anti-codon position. Lineage: Eukaryota; Metazoa; Chordata; Mammalia; Artiodactyla; Bovidae. RNAcentral also lists the same sequence under 3 other names. The record is from Rfam by way of RNAcentral.